Molecule: unclassified non-coding RNA, 259 nt
Filed under: Hevea brasiliensis (rubber tree)
Lineage: Eukaryota; Viridiplantae; Streptophyta; Magnoliopsida; Malpighiales; Euphorbiaceae
Source: RNAcentral
UCCCAACAUUGAAUGUACGUUUUGUAAUGGCCUGUUAGUAUACCGCGUAAAAGCUGAAGCAUUAGAAUGCCUGAGAGUAUGUCUUUCUUCAGUAACUUGAAUCUCAAAGCUACUAGGAUGGCAUCUUGUCAAGCACAGAUCCAAAUGUGGAGAACAAUCAAACUUGCUUUUAGCAUUAUCUAAAGAAGAAUUGUAACCAGCAGAUGUUCCCAUGAAAUCUAUAGCUUCUCUAGACGAGAUGACAAGGACAUGAUUGUUG